This 253-nucleotide ribosomal RNA is filed under the name uncultured bacterium. RNAcentral describes it as "partial 16S ribosomal RNA". It matches the Rfam family "Bacterial small subunit ribosomal RNA", at positions 524 to 776 of the family's 1533-position model. The record is from RNAcentral.
UACGAAGGGGGCUAGCGUUGUUCGGAAUCACUGGGCGUAAAGGGCGCGUAGGCGGCUUUGUAAGUCGGGGGUGAAAGCCUGUGGCUCAACCACAGAAUUGCCUUCGAUACUGCAUGGCUUGAGGCCGGAAGAGGUAAGUGGAACUGCGAGUGUAGAGGUGAAAUUCGUAGAUAUUCGCAAGAACACCAGUGGCGAAGGCGGCUUACUGGUCCGGUUCUGACGCUGAGGCGCGAAAGCGUGGGGAGCAAACAGG